GGCGCGGUCGCCAAGUGGUAAGGCCGAGGACUGCAAAUCCUCUAUCGUCGGUUCGAUUCCGACCCGCGCCUCCA
This 74-nucleotide transfer RNA is filed under the name Zhongshania aliphaticivorans. RNAcentral describes it as "tRNA-Cys". It matches the Rfam family "tRNA". From Rfam's summary of the family: Transfer RNA (tRNA) molecules are approximately 80 nucleotides in length. Their secondary structure includes four short double-helical elements and three loops (D, anti-codon, and T loops). The record is from RNAcentral. RNAcentral also lists the same sequence under 17 other names. Lineage: Bacteria; Pseudomonadati; Pseudomonadota; Gammaproteobacteria; Cellvibrionales; Spongiibacteraceae.